Molecule: unclassified non-coding RNA, 452 nt
Filed under: Hevea brasiliensis (rubber tree)
Lineage: Eukaryota; Viridiplantae; Streptophyta; Magnoliopsida; Malpighiales; Euphorbiaceae
Source: RNAcentral
AAGUUACCAAGCUGGGAAAUCAAACGACAAAAAUGGAAUUUUUCCAUUCAAUCAGUUCUACAUCCAGAAUAAGAACUACUCACUGCAAGAGAAGACAGGGGAGGAAGAAAGAAAAUUUUGAAUCUUUUUACUUCUUAUUGUAUUGGCUUCAUUAAAAUCCAUAUAAAUUUAUCACAGCAUAACAGUAUUACGCAAAUUUAAGCGCGUUAUAUCAUAUGAAUACAAAUGGCGAAACUGCACAUUCUUUUCUAUUUCUUGAAACAGAGCAGUACAGUUGUGAACCACCCAUUUCUAUAUCUCAGCGAAAGGGAAAGAAAAUCCAUAUGAAAGAUAGCAUUAAAUCAUACCGGAUAGAGGCAACGAUAUUUAACGAUAAACACGUUUAACAAACCCAAACUUAAUUUUUUUCCACCAAACAAGCAACUAACCUUGCAAAUUCUCCAUGUUUCCGA